CUAUUUGCAGAUGGAGCAUCAUCAAGAUUCACAUAUUAUAUAUUGCAAUUGAGGGUGGUGUGAUGUAAUAAUCAUUCAUUGUCAAAAGCUUUUGAGUUGUUGAGAAUCUUGAUGAUGCUGCAUUAGCAAUAAG
Molecule: microRNA precursor, 133 nt
Filed under: Macleaya cordata
Lineage: Eukaryota; Viridiplantae; Streptophyta; Magnoliopsida; Ranunculales; Papaveraceae
Description: mir-172 microRNA precursor family
Rfam family: mir-172 microRNA precursor family
About the family: mir-172 has been experimentally verified in Arabidopsis thaliana.
Source: Rfam by way of RNAcentral